Molecule: ribosomal RNA, 380 nt
Filed under: uncultured eukaryote
Lineage: Eukaryota
Description: partial 18S ribosomal RNA
Rfam family: Eukaryotic small subunit ribosomal RNA
Source: RNAcentral
CAAUAGCGUAUAUUAAAGUUGUUGCGGUUAAAAAGCUCGUAGUUGGAUUUCUGCUUAGGACAGCCGGUCCGCACUACGUGCGUGUAUCUGGUUUGGCCUGGGCAUCCUAUCCGAAGGGGAUACUGUGCUUGAUUGCAUGGUUUUCAGUCGGGUACUUUUACUUUGAGGAAAUUAGAGUGUUCACGGCAGGCAAUCGCCCUGAAUAUAUUAGCAUGGAAUAAUAAUAUAGGAUCUGAUGCCUAUUUUGUUGGUUUCUAGGUGUUAGAUAAUGAUUAAUAGGGACAAUUGGGGGCAUUCGUAUUAUGGCGUCAGAGGUGGAAUUCUUGGAUUGCCAUACGACGAACUACUGCGAAAGCAUUUGCCAAGGAUGUUUUCAUUGA